RNAcentral lists this ribosomal RNA (985 nucleotides) under Prevotella denticola. RNAcentral describes it as "bacterial SSU rRNA". It matches the Rfam family "Bacterial small subunit ribosomal RNA", at positions 28 to 1003 of the family's 1533-position model. Lineage: Bacteria; Pseudomonadati; Bacteroidota; Bacteroidia; Bacteroidales; Prevotellaceae. The record is from RNAcentral.
GAUGAACGCUGGCUACAGGCUUAACACAUGCAAGUCGAGGGGAAACGGCAUUGAGUGCUUGCACUGAAUGGACGUCGACCGGCGCACGGGUGAGUAACGCGUAUCCAACCUUCCCGUUACUGCGGGAUAACCUGCCGAAAGGCAGACUAAUACCGCAUGUUCUUCGAUGACGGCAUCAGAUUCGAAGCAAAGAUUCUUCGGUAACGGAGGGGGAUGCGUCUGAUUAGCUAGCUGGCGGGGCGACGGCCCACCAAGGCGACGAUCAGUAGGGGUUCUGAGAGGUAGGUCCCCCACAUUGGAACUGAGACACGGUCCAAACUCCUACGGGAGGCAGCAGUGAGGAAUAUUGGUCAAUGGGCGGAAGCCUGAACCAGCCAAGUAGCGUGCAGGAGGACGGCCCUACGGGUUGUAAACUGCUUUUAUGCGGGGAUAAAGUGAGGGACGCGUCCCUUUUUGCAGGUACCGCAUGAAUAAGGACCGGCUAAUUCCGUGCCAGCAGCCGCGGUAAUACGGAAGGUCCGGGCGUUAUCCGGAUUUAUUGGGUUUAAAGGGAGCGUAGGCCGGGGAUUAAGUGUGUUGUGAAAUGUAAGCGCCCAACGUCUGACUUGCAGCGCAUACUGGUUCCCUUGAGUACGCGCAACGCCGGCGGAAUUCGUCGUGUAGCGGUGAAAUGCUUAGAUAUGACGAAGAACCCCGAUUGCGAAGGCAGCCGGCGGGAGCGCAACUGACGCUGAAGCUCGAAGGUGCGGGUAUCGAACAGGAUUAGAUACCCUGGUAGUCCGCACGGUAAACGAUGGAUGCCCGCUGUCGGCGCCUUGCGCCGGCGGCCAAGCGAAAGCGUUAAGCAUCCCACCUGGGGAGUACGCCGGCAACGGUGAAACUCAAAGGAAUUGACGGGGGCCCGCACAAGCGGAGGAUCAUGUGGUUUAAUUCAUGAUACGCGAGGAACCUUACUCGGGCUUGAAUUCCCGAGAGAACGAUACAG